CCUACGGGAGGCAGCAGUGAGGAAUAUUGGACAAUGGAGGAGACUCUGAUCCAGCCAUGCCGCGUGCAGGAAGAAUGCCCUAUGGGUAGUAAACUGCUUUUAUACGGGAAGAAAAAGAGCUACGUGUAGCUUACUGACGGUACCGUAAGAAUAAGGACCGGCUAACUCCGUGCCAGCAGCCGCGGUAAUACGGAGGGUCCGAGCGUUAUCCGGAAUUAUUGGGUUUAAAGGGUCCGUAGGCGGGCCGAUAAGUCAGGGGUGAAAGUCUGCCGCUCAACGGUAGAACUGCCUUUGAUACUGUCGGUCUUGAGUUAUAGUGAAGUUGCCGGAAUAUGUAGUGUAGCGGUGAAAUGCAUAGAUAUUACAUAGAACACCGAUUGCGAAGGCAGGUGACUAACUAUAUACUGACGCUGAUGGACGAAAGCGUGGGGAGCGAACAG
RNAcentral lists this ribosomal RNA (440 nucleotides) under uncultured bacterium. RNAcentral describes it as "bacterial SSU rRNA". It matches the Rfam family "Bacterial small subunit ribosomal RNA", at positions 338 to 775 of the family's 1533-position model. The record is from RNAcentral.